This 2904-nucleotide ribosomal RNA is filed under the name human gut metagenome. RNAcentral describes it as "bacterial LSU rRNA". It matches the Rfam family "Bacterial large subunit ribosomal RNA". The record is from RNAcentral.
UUAAGCGACUAAGCGUACACGGUGGAUGCCCUGGCAGUCAGAGGCGAUGAAGGACGUGCUAAUCUGCGAUAAGCGUCGGUAAGGUGAUAUGAACCGUUAUAACCGGCGAUUUCCGAAUGGGGAAACCCAGUGUGAUUCGUCACACUAUCAUUAACUGAAUCCAUAGGUUAAUGAGGCGAACCGGGGGAACUGAAACAUCUAAGUACCCCGAGGAAAAGAAAUCAACCGAGAUUCCCCCAGUAGCGGCGAGCGAACGGGGAGCAGCCCAGAGCCUGAAUCAGUGUGUGUGUUAGUGGAAGCGUCUGGAAAGGCGCGCGAUACAGGGUGACAGCCCCGUACACAAAAAUGCACAUGCUGUGAGCUCGAUGAGUAGGGCGGGACACGUGGUAUCCUGUCUGAAUAUGGGGGGACCAUCCUCCAAGGCUAAAUACUCCUGACUGACCGAUAGUGAACCAGUACCGUGAGGGAAAGGCGAAAAGAACCCCGGCGAGGGGAGUGAAAAAGAACCUGAAACCGUGUACGUACAAGCAGUGGGAGCACAGAGCAAUCUGUGUGACUGCGUACCUUUUGUAUAAUGGGUCAGCGACUUAUAUUCUGUAGCAAGGUUAACCGAAUAGGGGAGCCGAAGGGAAACCGAGUCUUAACUGGGCGUUAAGUUGCAGGGUAUAGACCCGAAACCCGGUGAUCUAGCCAUGGGCAGGUUGAAGGUUGGGUAACACUAACUGGAGGACCGAACCGACUAAUGUUGAAAAAUUAGCGGAUGACUUGUGGCUGGGGGUGAAAGGCCAAUCAAACCGGGAGAUAGCUGGUUCUCCCCGAAAGCUAUUUAGGUAGCGCCUCGUGAAUUCAUCUCCGGGGGUAGAGCACUGUUUCGGCAAGGGGGUCAUCCCGACUUACCAACCCGAUGCAAACUGCGAAUACCGGAGAAUGUUAUCACGGGAGACACACGGCGGGUGCUAACGUCCGUCGUGAAGAGGGAAACAACCCAGACCGCCAGCUAAGGUCCCAAAGUCAUGGUUAAGUGGGAAACGAUGUGGGAAGGCCCAGACAGCCAGGAUGUUGGCUUAGAAGCAGCCAUCAUUUAAAGAAAGCGUAAUAGCUCACUGGUCGAGUCGGCCUGCGCGGAAGAUGUAACGGGGCUAAACCAUGCACCGAAGCUGCGGCAGCGACGCUUAUGCGUUGUUGGGUAGGGGAGCGUUCUGUAAGCCUGCGAAGGUGUGCUGUGAGGCAUGCUGGAGGUAUCAGAAGUGCGAAUGCUGACAUAAGUAACGAUAAAGCGGGUGAAAAGCCCGCUCGCCGGAAGACCAAGGGUUCCUGUCCAACGUUAAUCGGGGCAGGGUGAGUCGACCCCUAAGGCGAGGCCGAAAGGCGUAGUCGAUGGGAAACAGGUUAAUAUUCCUGUACUUGGUGUUACUGCGAAGGGGGGACGGAGAAGGCUAUGUUGGCCGGGCGACGGUUGUCCCGGUUUAAGCGUGUAGGCUGGUUUUCCAGGCAAAUCCGGAAAAUCAAGGCUGAGGCGUGAUGACGAGGCACUACGGUGCUGAAGCAACAAAUGCCCUGCUUCCAGGAAAAGCCUCUAAGCAUCAGGUAACAUCAAAUCGUACCCCAAACCGACACAGGUGGUCAGGUAGAGAAUACCAAGGCGCUUGAGAGAACUCGGGUGAAGGAACUAGGCAAAAUGGUGCCGUAACUUCGGGAGAAGGCACGCUGAUAUGUAGGUGAAGUCCCUCGCGGAUGGAGCUGAAAUCAGUCGAAGAUACCAGCUGGCUGCAACUGUUUAUUAAAAACACAGCACUGUGCAAACACGAAAGUGGACGUAUACGGUGUGACGCCUGCCCGGUGCCGGAAGGUUAAUUGAUGGGGUUAGCGCAAGCGAAGCUCUUGAUCGAAGCCCCGGUAAACGGCGGCCGUAACUAUAACGGUCCUAAGGUAGCGAAAUUCCUUGUCGGGUAAGUUCCGACCUGCACGAAUGGCGUAAUGAUGGCCAGGCUGUCUCCACCCGAGACUCAGUGAAAUUGAACUCGCUGUGAAGAUGCAGUGUACCCGCGGCAAGACGGAAAGACCCCGUGAACCUUUACUAUAGCUUGACACUGAACAUUGAGCCUUGAUGUGUAGGAUAGGUGGGAGGCUUUGAAGUGUGGACGCCAGUCUGCAUGGAGCCGACCUUGAAAUACCACCCUUUAAUGUUUGAUGUUCUAACGUUGACCCGUAAUCCGGGUUGCGGACAGUGUCUGGUGGGUAGUUUGACUGGGGCGGUCUCCUCCUAAAGAGUAACGGAGGAGCACGAAGGUUGGCUAAUCCUGGUCGGACAUCAGGAGGUUAGUGCAAUGGCAUAAGCCAGCUUGACUGCGAGCGUGACGGCGCGAGCAGGUGCGAAAGCAGGUCAUAGUGAUCCGGUGGUUCUGAAUGGAAGGGCCAUCGCUCAACGGAUAAAAGGUACUCCGGGGAUAACAGGCUGAUACCGCCCAAGAGUUCAUAUCGACGGCGGUGUUUGGCACCUCGAUGUCGGCUCAUCACAUCCUGGGGCUGAAGUAGGUCCCAAGGGUAUGGCUGUUCGCCAUUUAAAGUGGUACGCGAGCUGGGUUUAGAACGUCGUGAGACAGUUCGGUCCCUAUCUGCCGUGGGCGCUGGAGAACUGAGGGGGGCUGCUCCUAGUACGAGAGGACCGGAGUGGACGCAUCACUGGUGUUCGGGUUGUCAUGCCAAUGGCACUGCCCGGUAGCUAAAUGCGGAAGAGAUAAGUGCUGAAAGCAUCUAAGCACGAAACUUGCCCCGAGAUGAGUUCUCCCUGACUCCUUGAGAGUCCUGAAGGAACGUUGAAGACGACGACGUUGAUAGGCCGGGUGUGUAAGCGCAGCGAUGCGUUGAGCUAACCGGUACUAAUGAACCGUGAGGCUUAACCUU